CUUCCUCCACUCUUUAUUUUGGAGCCGCCUCCUCCCUCUCAUCCUCUAUGCUAUCUAACCGGCAAGGAUGACCCAUGUAGCAGCAGCGCCUCAUCUUGCCUCCGGUGCUCUCCUCUCAAUUUUUCUCCGGCAUAGAUCGUCACCACGUGCUGGUGGCAUCCGUCCCUCUCUCUUUCUCCUCCUUUCCCUGGCAAGGGAAGCAGCCGGACGGAAACACCAGCAACAGCUGCACGCAGCUAGCAGCUUCCAGGUGUCACGCCACCCUCUCUCUGCCCCUUUUUCUCUCUCCCUUUUCCGACAGCCGCCACCCCCUCUUCUUCUCCCUCUCCCUUCGUUCCUCCUCUCUCUCUCCGUCUUUCUCCCCUUCCCGUCCUCCUCCUCUUCUCUUCUUCAUCACCUCUUUCCUCCCUUCUCUCUUCUCGUCUUAACCCCUCUCUUCGCCUCUCAACUCCUCUCCUAUCCUCCUUGGAUCCGGCGAGGACAACAAACGACAAUAGCUCCAGCGCCAAGUAUCAGCGAACAGUGAAGACAACCAGUUGUCGGGGCCUCCAGCACCUCCGUCUCCAAAAGUAACAACUGCUCUGGCUAGCUACAACAAAAAACAAAGAACCAGCGAGACCCUCGAGUCUCUAUUCCUCUAGUCUCCGGAAGUUUGAGUUCGAAGACGGAUCUUAACAGAUUCGUCCAUGUGCAGGCACAGGUGGACAAUAGAGCUACAAGAUAAUCGCUGCAAUUAUCCGGACAUUCAACAUUCAUCCGUUUUUGAUAAUGAACACUAGGAUAGCUAAUGGUCAGAGGAGAGGAGGAGCAGCUGCUGCGGAUAAUCAGAAUCCACCUCAGGCUCCAGCUGAAGGAGUGGCGAUGCCAGUUAACCUAGUUGGGUUGAAUGAUGCUGAGGUGAGGCCAUCUCCGGCUCAGAUAGAACAUGCCAUUACGAUGCAGGCUCAGGCUAUGACUGGUCACGUAUAUCGACAAGAUGUUCAGAGAAAGAACCCACCAGUUCGCAGCAUGGCUAACAGGCUGCGAGACUUUACGAGGAUGAACCCUCCUAUAUUCAUAGGGUCUCAGACAUCAUAGGAUCCUCAGAAGUUUGUGGAUGAAGUAAAUAUGAUUCUGGUGGCUAUGGGGCCAAAGAUACUGAGAAGGCUAGGCUGGAUUCCUAUCAGCUCAAGGAUGUUGCACACACUUGGUGCAAGAUAGGGCAAGAUAGCCGUGUUUUGGGUGGAGUGCCAGUCACUUGGGAGCUGUUCAAACCCAGCCAUGAAGGCCACAGAAAUAAUUUGGCGUCCGUGAGCAGCCCAGGUUCAAGAAGGGGCAACAGAGUUCUGGGAACUCUAACUUUUGGAGGAGUACAACACCUAGAGGAGGCAGACCUGAGUCCAAGAAGGGCAAUGGAGGAAAGAUGCAGCGUCCUAAGAAGAAUUGUGCUAAGUGUGGCUGAGCUCACAGCGGAGAGUGAAGACAGGGCAAUAAUGCUUGCUUCGGUUGCGGUAAGAGUGGGCACAUGGUUAGAGACUCCCCAUAGAACAGAGGUCCGGCUAGAGGUAAUGCUCAGCCUGGGCCAAAUCCACAGGGUGCAGCAGCAGCCGAGCCUCCUAAGUGGAACAUAUUCUAUGCCCUGAAGGGCAGGGAGGACCAGGAGAAGUCCUCUGCUGUAGUCGUAGGUGCAGGCACAGGUGGACGAUAGAGCUACAGAAUCAUCGCUGUAGUUAUCUGGACGUUCAACAUUCAUCCGGUUAUGGUAGGUCCUCCUGAUUUCACGGAUGCUGUUGUUUUAUAUUCUAGCUUAGUUUUAGAGUUGAGCUAGUGGAGCAUGUUCCACUAGCGUUUCUUUCCUAUUUUUUAUUCAAACUAUGUAUUGGUGCAAUU
Molecule: long non-coding RNA, 1869 nt
Organism: Solanum pennellii
Lineage: Eukaryota; Viridiplantae; Streptophyta; Magnoliopsida; Solanales; Solanaceae
Exons: 4
Source: RefSeq, a predicted model, not a curated record